GUCUUGGUGACUUGAGCGCGGUGGAACCACCUGAUUCCAUUCCGAACUCAGAAGUUAAACGCCGUAGCGCUGACGAUAGUUACCGGGCAACUGGUCGCGAAAAUAAGUCGUCGCCAAGACU
This 121-nucleotide ribosomal RNA is filed under the name Candidatus Woesebacteria bacterium GW2011_GWA1_34_41. RNAcentral also lists the same sequence under 6 other names. Lineage: Bacteria; Candidatus Woeseibacteriota. The record is from RNAcentral.